Molecule: ribosomal RNA, 325 nt
Filed under: uncultured eukaryote
Lineage: Eukaryota
Description: partial 18S ribosomal RNA
Rfam family: Eukaryotic small subunit ribosomal RNA
Source: RNAcentral
CCCUUAGAUGUCCUGGGCCGCACGCGCGCUACACUGAUGCAUUCAACGAGUUUUACCUUGGCCGAGAGGCCUGGGCAAUCUUUUAAACCUGCAUCGUGAUAGGGAUAGAUUAUUGCAAUUAUUAAUCUUGAACGAGGAAUUCCUAGUAAACGCAAAUCAUCAAUUUGCAUUGAUUACGCCCCUGCCCUUUGUACACACCGCCCGUCGCACCUACCGAUUGAAUGGUCCGGUGAAGCCUCGGGAUUGUGGCCAGUUCACUUUAUUGGGAGUUGGCUGUGAGAACUUGUCUAAACCUUAUCAUUUAGAGGAAGGUGAAGUCGUAACA